UGGGGUGUCGCCAAGUGGUAAGGCAGCGGGUUUUGAUCUCGCCAUUCCGUGGUUCGAAUCCAUGCACCCCAG
This 72-nucleotide transfer RNA is filed under the name Gammaproteobacteria bacterium RIFCSPHIGHO2_12_FULL_36_30. Its description in RNAcentral is "tRNA-Gln". It matches the Rfam family "tRNA". Rfam says of the family: Transfer RNA (tRNA) molecules are approximately 80 nucleotides in length. Their secondary structure includes four short double-helical elements and three loops (D, anti-codon, and T loops). Lineage: Bacteria; Pseudomonadati; Pseudomonadota; Gammaproteobacteria. The record is from RNAcentral. RNAcentral also lists the same sequence under 2 other names.